AUCCUGUUCCGAUUAUUGGGAUACUGUUAGUUUGAGAAAAUUAGAGUUUUUGAAGCAGGCUAAUUGCCUUGAAUACUGCAUCAUGGAAUAACAAUAUAGGAUUUCGGUUCUAUUUUGUUGGUUUCUAUGACUGAAAUAAUGAUUAAUAGGGACAGUUGGGGGCAUUCGUAUUUAACUGUCAGAGGUGAAAUUCUU
This 195-nucleotide ribosomal RNA is filed under the name Sarcocystis capracanis. RNAcentral describes it as "partial small subunit ribosomal RNA". The stretch from base 23 to 195 matches the Rfam family "Eukaryotic small subunit ribosomal RNA", at positions 748 to 921 of the family's 1831-position model. The record is from RNAcentral. Lineage: Eukaryota; Apicomplexa; Conoidasida; Eucoccidiorida; Sarcocystidae.